Molecule: ribosomal RNA, 485 nt
Filed under: uncultured bacterium
Lineage: Bacteria
Description: partial 16S ribosomal RNA
Rfam family: Bacterial small subunit ribosomal RNA
Source: RNAcentral
AGUGAAUGCUGGCGGCGUGCUUAACACAUGCAAGUCGAACGAGAACGGAUUAUAGCUUGCUAUAAUUGUCAGCUAAGUGGCGCACGGGUGAGUAAUGUAUAGAUAACCUGCCCUCUAGAAAGGAAUAACAGUUGGAAACGACUGCUAAUGCCCUAUAUGCCUUUAAUACAUAAGUAUGCAAGGGAAACGCUUUAGUGCUAGAGGAUGGGUCUGUAUGGUAUCAGUUAGUUGGUGAGGUAAUGGCUCACCAAGACUAUGACGCCUAACUGGUUUGGGAGGAUGAUCAGUCACACUGGAACUGAGACACGGUCCAGACUCCUACGGGAGGCAGCAGUGGGGAAUAUUGCACAAUGGACGAAAGUCUGAUGCAGCAACGCCGCGUGGAGGAUGACACAUUUCGGUGCGUAAACUCCUUUUAUAUAGGAAGAUAAUGACGGUACUAUAUGAAUAAGCACCGGCUAACUCCGUGCCAGCAGCCGCGGUAA